UAUACUUGCUGACGUCUGGCAUUCAUCGUUUACGGUGUGGACUACCAGGGUAUCUAAUCCUGUUUGCUCCCCACACUUUCGCACCUCAGCGUCAGUAUCGAGCCAGUAAGCCGCCUUCGCCACUGGUGUUCCUCCAAAUAUCUACGAAUUUCACCUCUACACUUGGAAUUCCACUUACCUCUCUCGAACUCAAGACUAGCAGUAUUAAAGGCAGUUCCAGGGUUGAGCCCUGGGAUUUCACCUCUAACUUACUAAUCCGCCUACGUGCGCUUUACGCCCAGUAAUUCCGAACAACGCUAACCCCCUCCGUAUUACCGCGGCUGCUGGCACGGAGUUAGCCGGGGUUUCUUUACCAGAUACUGUCAUUAUCAUCUCUGGCGAAAGUGCUUUACGACCCUAAGGCCUUCAUCACACACGCGGCAUGGCUAGAUCAGGGUUUCCCCCAUUGUCUAAGAUUCCCUACUGCUGCCUCCCGUAGGAGUCUGGGCCGUGUCUCAGUCCCAGUGUGGCUGAUCAUCCUCUCAAACCAGCUAUAGAUCGUAGGCUUGGUAGGCCAUUACCCCACCAACUACCUAAUCUAACGCGGGCUAAUCCUUCUCCGAUAAAUCUUUCCCCCGAAGGGCGUAUAAGGUAUUACUCUCCGUUUCCAGAGGCUAUUCCUUAGAGAAGGGCAUAUUCCCACGCGUUACUCACCCGUCCGCCGCUCAUCCCGAGGGAUGCGCUCGACUUGCAUGUAUUAGGCCUGCCGCCAGCGUUCGUUCUGAGCCAGGAUCAAACUCU
RNAcentral lists this ribosomal RNA (780 nucleotides) under uncultured bacterium. Its description in RNAcentral is "partial 16S ribosomal RNA". The record is from RNAcentral.